Molecule: ribosomal RNA, 257 nt
Filed under: uncultured bacterium
Lineage: Bacteria
Description: partial 16S ribosomal RNA
Rfam family: Bacterial small subunit ribosomal RNA
Source: RNAcentral
CGGACGGGUGAGUAACGCGUGAGCAACCUGCCUUUCAGAGGGGGAUAACGUUUGGAAACGAACGCUAAUACCGCAUGAGACUACAGUACUACAUGGUACAGUGGCCAAAGGAGCAAUCCGCUGAAAGAUGGGCUCGCGUCCGAUUAGAUAGUUGGCGGGGUAACGGCCCACCAAGUCGACGAUCGGUAGCCGGACUGAGAGGUUGAACGGCCACAUUGGGACUGAGACACGGCCCAGACUCCUACGGGAGGCAGCAG